AUGCUAAAGAAAGUUCUGCAUGUUGAAAGGGAAGUACAUGAGAUAAUAGAUUGAGGCUGCAUGAAGAAAUAAAGAUCUCCAGUGAGAUUAAUGAGAGAACACAGACUCUCAAGAAAAUGUUUCCAGAUUUUUUGGGAUCUCUGACCUAGGAUGAAGAUCUGUCCUUGAAAUUGUGCAACAUGCCUGUAUGUCUUGCUACCAUGAGGAAAGCCAGCCUGAGGACAAAGUAAAUCCAUAGAGGAAGACAAGAACAAGACAAUACAGGAAAAUGAAUUACGGCUCUGAUCAAACCUAGCCCGAAGCUCACAAAGACACCAACCAGGCAGCCCUCCUUUGAGCAUCAUGACCCUACCUCCUUAGAAAAUGCCCACAGAACUAAGAUUGACCCAGCCUGUGUCAUAUGCACACUAAUGUAUCCUGGAAGAGUUGAAGUAUCAUGAUUCACAGCCAUCAGUGGGGAAGGCAACUUCAGAAAAGGAGGAAAGAGUACUGGCCAGAAUGAGGAUGAACGUGUACAACUAAGCUGUCCACACUUCUUCAGACCCUAGCAAGGGCAAAGUUCACAGACUUGCUCAAGGACUGGCUGGAGCAAAGAGGCUCAGCCUGUACCAGAGGGCAGAAUUCUUCCUCCUUUAUCAAACUUGACUUUGACUUCAUUAAAGCAUUGUUCCCAUCAAGUGGACUAUAGGAAUUAGCCAUUAGACUAGCAGCAGCAGCCUUCUGGGUCCUAUCUAAGCAAUAAGUAUUAAUGAUAAUGCAUUUCACAGUCUAUCCACAUAGAAGGUGAAGGCCAAUUCUAGGGUCAGUUGAGACUUCUCCCACAACAGGACUAAGAAUGGAAUAUUCUUGGCAUUGUAUAUGACCAUCACAAGGCACUCAAAAUGUGUUUUAGAAAAGCUUGUUGUCUUGUUCAGCUAUCUGUGCACAUUUUUCUUAUUCCACUAAUGGUUGAGUCCACUGGUUCCUUUAAUAACUUCCUCUAACUUCCAGAAGGCGUUUCCUUAUGUGGAAGGCAAAUGCCUAGGCCAGCAGUUUACUACUUUUGGUUUCAGGACUCCUUUAUCCUUUUAAAAAUUAUUGAGGACUCCAAAGAGUUUUGUUUAUGUGAGUUACAUCUGUCGAUAUUUUGCAGUAUUAGAAAUUAAAAUUGAGAAGGGAGAAGCAGAGAUGAGACACAGAGUCCUGACAGGAUGGAGGUUCCCAUCCCAGCCCCUCUCAGCUGCUCACCUGCCCUUCCACCUUACCUGAGGCAAUAAACUUCCCUUUCAGAAGGAGCUGAUCUGGCUUGGUUUCUGCCACAAGUGAAU
Molecule: long non-coding RNA, 1307 nt
Organism: Choloepus didactylus (southern two-toed sloth)
Lineage: Eukaryota; Metazoa; Chordata; Mammalia; Pilosa; Megalonychidae
Exons: 3
Source: RefSeq, a predicted model, not a curated record